Candoia aspera is the source of this 117-nucleotide small nucleolar RNA. RefSeq annotates it as small nucleolar RNA SNORA14. NCBI's taxonomy places the organism in Eukaryota, Metazoa, Chordata, Lepidosauria, Squamata, Candoiidae. The transcript has a single exon. The record is from RefSeq and is a predicted model, not a curated record.
CUGCAUGUGCUUACUUUUCUUUUCUUUUCUUUUCAUGAUUGGGUAUGCUCCAGGAAGCAAAGGAUACAGAAUCCUGAACCUGUCUUCAGGUUCAGGAUUCUGUAUCCUUUGCUUCCU